This 711-nucleotide unclassified non-coding RNA is filed under the name Hevea brasiliensis (rubber tree). The record is from RNAcentral. Lineage: Eukaryota; Viridiplantae; Streptophyta; Magnoliopsida; Malpighiales; Euphorbiaceae.
GCUGACCCAAAGAAUCCUGCAACAUAAAGCGCAUUCCUCCAUCCACAAAAUAAAAGGGCGAGUUAGUCAACAAGAAAAGUUUCUUUCCUUUAUCCUUCAGCAUCCUUAGAAAGCGUAGUAGCUGAUCAUUCUUUACAAGGUAUCUGGGGGGAUCAGCAAGAAUUCCUCUGUGAACUAACCCGCUAUUAUGAACAUACUGUAUCGCUCGAUUCACAUCUUCAUAUACGUAACGAGCAUCAAAUUCCAAUUUAGCGUCAACAAAAUGUUGCACAAUAUCAGCAAUAAGGCAUGCCUCACUGAAACAAAAGAAAUCCAUCAAACAAACAAGUUCUCGUGCUUGAUCACGGCCAAUAUGUCUUGUACCAUACAUCUCAUCUAUUUCCUCACGGCUGAGCUUGCGCCUGCCAUAGUAGCACCCGUCAAGCUCAAUUGACCCAAAAAAGUCCAACUUCAUAAGACAACCCUUUGAUUUGUCAUAGUAUAACCCUCUGAUGGGAAAAGUUGGAUCAUACUUGAACUCCAAGCAAGUAUCAGGAUAUUUGAACUCAUUCACUAAUUGCUGUUUUGCAAGUUCGUAAAUCAAGCACUGUAAAUUGGAGGAGUAAUGCGCCAACGUGUAAUCAUAGUCAAAUCCAUAGACUUGUAUGCUGUCCAACCGCACGUUCUUAUUAACGUAUAUACCUUUAGGAUUCAUUUUGGGCAUUUGUUUCA